AUAUCGAUUGAAUACACACAAAUUAACCAAACUAAUAUGGCUUAUAAAAAAACCUCCCUUAUUUGGAUUAUCCUCAUUCUUUGUAUAUUUUCAUCGUGUGCCAAGGCAACAAGUAUGAAGCUAGUUGGUGCUUCUAACCUUCAUGCAAGUUCGUAUGGAAUGAUUAAGAAUAGAAGGUUACUUCUGAGUGGUCCCCAAGGACCCCAACGCCCAUCAUGCCCAGAUGAUAAACCUCAUUGCGGCAAUUACUAGAAAAAAUAUGGAUGCAACUAAUUAAUAUGGAUCUGCUUUUUAAAACAAAUAUAGAUUUUUGUUCUUAAUAUGUUUAAAUAUCUAAUUAGUCAUGUAAAACAAAAAAAAAAAGUUAUUCUAGUCUUUACAUAAUAAAAACAAUUCAUUUUAGUCUUUGUACUAUGCAAGAAAUUUAAUUUUAGUUUUAUAAAAAUAUAUGUCAGCUUAGACCAUGUAUGAGUUAUAAGAAAUAGUGGAGUUGGUUCUUAUUUUUUUAUUAA
Molecule: long non-coding RNA, 512 nt
Organism: Cicer arietinum (chickpea)
Lineage: Eukaryota; Viridiplantae; Streptophyta; Magnoliopsida; Fabales; Fabaceae
Source: RefSeq, a predicted model, not a curated record